ACUCCUUUCCCUUUCUCUCCUGUUCCAUAUUCCUGUUUGUUUAAAAAAAAACAAAACAAAAAAACGUAGCCGCCUGUACUGUGGACCUUGAACUUGAACCUUGCCUGGCACCUAGUUGCCAUGGCAGAUUCUCCCUUUUCCCCAGGGUUUAGUUCAUUGCUUAAAAACAGUAUAUUGCUUCUACGUACAUGGGUUCUUUUCUCUGCCCCUUCUGAACUUCAUUGUAGUCAGCAAGAGAGAGGGUUGUUUUUUUGUUUUGUUUUCCAGUUUACGUAUUAGGUGGAGUUUUUACAGACGCAAGAAAUGGCCCUUGGGGGAAAGUCGAGUGAUAGCGAGAGAGAGCAAAAGAGCAGGUUCUUUGCUGUGCAACUGGAGCCACAAAACUCAUGAAGAAUUAGUUGGGACUCCCUGAAGAGUCAGGUGACAGAACUGCUGAAUUGAUCAUUCCUGGAAGUUGGGGGGAGAGAGAGGUCUUAAUGACAUUUGCUGUCCUGAAUCUACGUUUCCCCCAAGCUGUGUCUCUGAGUUGGUCUUCCUCUGCAAAGAGAUGAUCCCUAACUGAUGGAUUUAAGACAAAGAAAGGGAAGAACCACCACUUAACUCCCAGCCUCUUCAGGAGAAGUGAGAGUCAGCUCCAGUGCUGGAGGCAGGUUUCUGGUUUGGGGACUGUAUGGCAGAUGAGUAAGGAUAAGAAUAUUCAAAGUCCAGACAGAGGCUUUUUUUCCUCUUCGUGUUUCACUCUUUUCCAUUGGCAAAUCUCCCUCAACUCCACACAGCUGGUGUUUGACACUUGUCUGUGUAGUACAACCUCCCCAGGCUGGAGCAGUCAUGAUAGAAAGGGACAGGGAGAGCACCAGUUACUUCUCUUACUGCAUGAAUUAUGGUGACGCUUUGCAAACUGAGGCCCUAUUAGACCUGCAUGGACAGCCAGUGUUCUGUGGCAAUUUUCUUACAAGAAGGGUUUAUUCCUGUGUCCUUGGCCAAAUUUCCCCAGUGCAGCGGGCUUUGCACUUGUUGGCUGUCACCUUCAGUGCUAGCUGAUGCUCUACUAUACACAAGAAAUACACCUUAUUCAUGCCUCGCGGAAGACACGUAAUCUGAGCGGCUUUUGCCAGUCACAAAAGGCGAACUUGCCAGAACCAAAUCUUAUUUAUGACCUUUAAACACUGGUUGCCAAAGGUGACCUUUGCCUUUUUGGCUUUAGGCUGUGUUCCAAAUCUGAUUUUUAAUAAGUCUGUUUGCAUGGAAAGGAACCAUUCAUCCGUGUCUAUAUUAUGCUCACUUUCACUAACGGAAAAUGCUCUCUAGAAUGCUGUGGAAAGACCUGGAUCAAAAAAAAGCCUAACUUAUCUGACUGCUAUUUACACCUGGACCAAGGAGUUGGAGAGACCGUACAGCUGUUUAUAAGCAAACUCUUUUCUGUGGUAUUAUGUUUCGCCCUUAAAAAGUCAGCCUGUGAAAGAGUCGCACAAUAAAUGUCCUUUGUAAAGCCCUUACUGAUAUGAAACAGAUCCACAACGGGGCUAGUGCCUACUUUACACACAACGUACCUUAUUCAUGCCUGCUGGGGUGGAACUCAUAUAGCAAUAGGCCCUGACAUCAAGGUGUUGGUGUCACAGUGCACGGUGAGGCAUGAGACUUCACAAUUUCAUAUGGUUUUCAAGCCAAAUUAACAUCUUUUUACAACAUUUCUCAAAAUCACAAUCAUAGAAUCAUAGAAUAUAAGGGUUGGAAGGGACCCCAGAAGGUCAUCUAGUCCAACCCCCUGCUCAAAGCAGGACCAAUUCCCAGUUAAAUCAUCCCAGCCAGGGCUUUGUCAAGCCUGACCUUAAAAACCUCUAAGGAAGGAGAUUCUACCACCUCCCUAGGUAACGCAUUCCAGUGCUUCACCACCCUCAUAGUGAAAAAGUUUUUCCUAAUAUCCAAUCUAAACCUC
Caretta caretta (loggerhead turtle) is the source of this 1936-nucleotide long non-coding RNA. RefSeq lists it as uncharacterized. The record is from RefSeq and is a predicted model, not a curated record. Lineage: Eukaryota; Metazoa; Chordata; Testudines; Cheloniidae.